Long non-coding RNA from Sebastes umbrosus (honeycomb rockfish), 1109 nucleotides. RefSeq lists it as uncharacterized. The record is from RefSeq and is a predicted model, not a curated record. Lineage: Eukaryota; Metazoa; Chordata; Actinopteri; Perciformes; Sebastidae. The transcript has 3 exons.
CGGGGCUAGAGAGAGCGACGGAAAGCGAGAGAGGCUGCUGUAGAUACGAUCUGUUUACCUGUUGACCAUCACAGUUAAGAGCCGGGGGUUUUAUACGUGUAACCUGCUAAAAUUGCAGAGCGAGUCGUGUGUUUAAGCUGUUUUCAUACAAUUAUUCUACUAAACUAACCCAACUACCAUAGCCACCUGUGGACUGUUGCUAAUUGGCUAAUUGGCUAGUUCUAGCCAGGCUAGUAUGCAUGGGAUGCUGCUGCAGUAGCUGGAUGCCAGAGGAACCUGUGUUCUGCACAGGGACAGAGCAGGACGGGUUUCUUCAUUGCACUGCUCACUGCUGGACAGAUCUGACAAGCAACACUCGUAGGCAUCGUACACGGGCGCCAGCAUCAGCAGACCUAGAACGACGCUGCAGAAGUUCCCACUCAGCUCGGAGGACAGAUCAUCAGCCAGGUCCUGCAGGAGGACGGGAGCAGAUGGAUUAAACAGGAAAGAAAAAACAGCCCACCAGUCGUCCCCCAGCACUUCAAUAAUAUCAAUCAAGAGGUGGGACAGCAGCCAUGAGACGGACUUACCGCUGCCAUUGUAGGAAGAGUGAAGAUUUCCAAACUGGAGGUGCAGAAAGCUACAAAAGAGUAAAUGCAUAAUUUGUCACUCACACAAGAACCAGUUUAUAGCACAACAAAAAACUAAUUAGCUGCAGCAUCAGGUUUUAGGGGGCAGUUCUGAACGUGACCCUCAUUAACCUCUGAUCAAUAUUGUAUGCCGUUUCAUCAGAGAGGGUUCCCGUCACACACAUUUGGCCCCGGGCUCUCUUGUGUCCCACAUCUGUGCCGGCGUCCCGGGAGCUAAUCUCAUUUAGUGUUUGUUUGGACACACCUGUGUAAUUACUCCACUGAGAGCACAGGUAGUAGGGUUUCCACUCUUUCCUGUUUUCCUGCAGGUAGAGAUCAACUUACCCACUGAUGGGAGUUAUCAUAUAUCUGUCAAAAUCCAAUACGUUUUAAAACACAUUGAGAAGACUCAUUUAGUUUACAAGCCUGCAGAAACAGCCCAGAUGUUUUUAUAUAUAAUAAUACAAUUUCAUUUAUAUAGCGCUUUUCUGGAUACUCAAA